AUUGAACGCUGGCGGCAGGCCUAACACAUGCAAGUCGAGCGGAUGAAGGGAGCUUGCUCCUGGAUUCAGCGGCGGACGGGUGAGUAAUGCCUAGGAAUCUGCCUGGUAGUGGGGGAUAACGUCCGGAAACGGGCGCUAAUACCGCAUACGUCCUGAGGGAGAAAGUGGGGGAUCUUCGGACCUCACGCUAUCAGAUGAGCCUAGGUCGGAUUAGCUAGUUGGUGGGGUAAAGGCCUACAAAGGCGACGAUCCGUAACUGGUCUGAGAGGAUGAUCAGUCACACUGGAACUGAGACACGGUCCGGACUCCUACGGGAGGCAGCAGUGGGGAAUAUUGGACAAUGGGCGAAAGCCUGAUCCAGCCAUGCCGCGUGUGUGAAGAAGGUCUUCGGAUUGUAAAGCACUUUAAGUUGGGAGGAAGGGCAGUAAGUUAAUACCUUGCUGUUUUGACGUUACCAACAGAAUAAGCACCGGCUAACUUCGUG
This 484-nucleotide ribosomal RNA is filed under the name uncultured bacterium. Its description in RNAcentral is "partial 16S ribosomal RNA". It matches the Rfam family "Bacterial small subunit ribosomal RNA", at positions 30 to 507 of the family's 1533-position model. The record is from RNAcentral.